AAUGUCGACUCCCCACUGAGCGAAGGGCCACGGAGCGACAAUGGGAGCGAUUUGGCUGGCCGGUUGGUGCUGAAUAUUGGCAUACUUUUGGCAUGGCUCGCACCUCCGGACCAACUCUGCCGCAUCCUUCUUCAUGGUCGGCCAGUAGUAGCCUUGUCGCAAGACCUUGAAGGCUAAGGAUUUGCCCCCCAAGUGGUUCCCACAAAUUCCUUCGUGAACCUCUCGGAGAGCGUAGUCGGCG
Molecule: long non-coding RNA, 241 nt
Filed under: Elaeis guineensis (African oil palm)
Lineage: Eukaryota; Viridiplantae; Streptophyta; Magnoliopsida; Arecales; Arecaceae
Description: long non-coding RNA (EGUI_LNC043571)
Source: RNAcentral